UUGUGAAAAUCCUUUUCCUGGCUCAUCCUGGCUCAAAAAGCACCCCCACUGAGCACCUUGUGACCCCCACUCCUGCCUGCCAGAGAACAAACCCCCUUUGACUGGACGCGCAUGAAAUUUGGUGCCGUGACUCGGAUCGGGGGACCUCCCUUGGGAGAUCAAUCCCCUGUCCUCCUGUUCUUUGCUCCGUGAGAAAGAGCCACCUACGACCUCAGGUCCUCAGACCAACCAGCCCAAGAAACAUCUCACCAAUUUCAAAUCCGGAGCUUGCUACACAUGCUGGAAAUCUGGCCACUGGGCGAAGGAAUGCCCGCAGCCCGGGAUUCCUCCUAAGCCACGUCCCAUCUGUGUGGGACCCCACUGAAAAUCAGACUGUUCAACUCACCUGGCAACCACUCCCAGAGCCCCUGGAACUCUGGCCCAAGGCUCUCUGACUGACUCCUUCCCAGAUCUUCUCGGCUUAGCGGCUGAAGACUGACACUGCCCGAUCGCCUCGGAAGCCCCCUAGACCAUCACAGACGCCGAGCUUCAGAAGGCAGGAAUGUCAGGCCUCUGAGCCCAAGCCAAGCCAUCGCAUCCCCUGUGACUUGCACGUAUAUGCCCAGAUGGACUGAAGUAACUGAAGAAUCACAAAAGAAGUGAAUAUGCCCUGCCCCACCUUAACUGAUGACAUUCCACCACAAAAGAAGUGUAAAUGGCCGGUCCUUGCCUUAAGUGAUGACAUUACCUUGUGAAAGUCCUUUUCCUGGCUCAUCCUGGCUCAAAAAGCACCCCCACUGAGCACCUUGCGACCGCCACUCCAGCCCACCAGAGAACAAACCCCCUUUGACUGUAAUUUUCCUUUACCUACCCAAAUCCUAUAAAAUGGCCCCACCCUUAUCUCCCUUCGCUAACUCUCUUUUCGGACUCAGCCCGCCUGCACCCAGGUGAUUAAAAGCUUUUUUGCUCA
Molecule: long non-coding RNA, 949 nt
Organism: Pan troglodytes (chimpanzee)
Lineage: Eukaryota; Metazoa; Chordata; Mammalia; Primates; Hominidae
Exons: 4
Source: RefSeq, a predicted model, not a curated record